CAGUCGCCGCGGGAAUACGAAGGGUGCAAGCGUUAAUCGGAAUUACUGGGCGUAAAGCGUGCGCAGGCGGUUUGUUAAGACAGAUGUGAAAUCCCCGGGCUCAACCUGGGAACUGCAUUUGUGACUGGCAAGCUAGAGUGUGGCAGAGGGGGGUGGAAUUCCGCGUGUAGCAGUGAAAUGCGUAGAUAUGCGGAGGAACACCGAUGGCGAAGGCAGCCCCCUGGGCCAACACUGACGCUCAUGCACGAAAGCGUGGGGAGCAAACAGGAUUAGAUACCCCCGUAGUCCCUGUCUCUUAUAC
RNAcentral lists this ribosomal RNA (301 nucleotides) under uncultured bacterium. RNAcentral's name for it is "partial 16S ribosomal RNA". It matches the Rfam family "Bacterial small subunit ribosomal RNA", at positions 509 to 807 of the family's 1533-position model. The record is from RNAcentral.